This 368-nucleotide ribosomal RNA is filed under the name uncultured organism. RNAcentral describes it as "bacterial SSU rRNA". It matches the Rfam family "Bacterial small subunit ribosomal RNA", at positions 526 to 896 of the family's 1533-position model. The record is from RNAcentral.
CAGAGGGUGCAAACGUUGUUCGGAAUCACUGGGCGUAAAGCGCGUGUAGGUGGCAGGGUGUGUCGGAUGUGAAAUCCCAUGGCUCAACCAUGGAAGUGCACCCGAAACUACCCAGCUUGAGUCUCGGAGAGGAAGGUGGAAUGCUUGGUGUAGAGGUGAAAUUCGUAGAUAUCAAGCGGAACACCGGUGGCGAAGGCGGCCUUCUGGACGAUGACUGACGCUGAGACGCGAAAGCGUGGGGAGCAAACAGGGUUAGAUACCCUGGUAGUCCACGCCCUAAACGAUGGAUACUCGACAUCAGCGAUACACUGUUGGUGUCUGAGCGAAAGCAUUAAGUAUCCCACCUGGGAAGUACGACCGCAAGGUUG